Molecule: non-coding RNA, 384 nt
Organism: Eubalaena glacialis (North Atlantic right whale)
Lineage: Eukaryota; Metazoa; Chordata; Mammalia; Artiodactyla; Balaenidae
Source: the annotation of a RefSeq genome assembly
AUGGCCUGGGCUCCUCUCCUGUUCACACUUCUGGCUCAUUGCACAGGGGCCACUUCCCAGGUGGUGACUCGGGAAACUUCACUGUCCACAACUCCUGGAGGGACAGUCACACUCAUUUGUGUUUCCAGUUCUGGGGCCAUCACCACCAGUAACUAUGCCACCUGGGUCCAACAGAAGCCGUGUCAGGCCCCCCAGGGUCUAAUAGGUGGUAGCAGCACUCGGGUUCCGGGGGUCCCUGCCCAAUUCUCCGGCUCCCUGCUUGGAGACAAGGCCGCCCUCACCAUCUUGGAGGCCCAGUCCAAGGAUGAGGCUGAGUAUUACUGUGUUCUGUGGUUCAGCAACCAUUUCCACAGUGACAGAUGCAGGUGGGGAAGGGAGACAUAA